CCUACGGGAGGCAGCAGUGAGGAAUAUUGGUCAAUGGACGAGAGUCUGAACCAGCCAAGUAGCGUGAAGGAUGACUGCCCUAUGGGUUGUAAACUUCUUUUAUAUGGGAAUAAAAUGUUCCACGUGUGGGAUUUUGUAUGUACCAUGUGAAUAAGGCUCGGCUAACUCCGUGCCAGCAGCCGCGGUAAUACGGAGGAUCCGAGCGUUAUCCGGAUUUAUUGGGUGUAAAGGGAGCGUAGGUGGAUUGUUAAGUCAGUUGUGAAAGUUUGCGGCUCAACCGUAAAAUUGCAGUUGAAACUGGCAGUCUUGAGUACAGUAGAGGGAGGCGGAAUUCGUGGUGUAGCGGUGAAAUGCUUAGAUAUCACGAAGAACUCCGAUUGCGAAGGCAGUUCACUGGACUGCAACUGACACUGAGGCUCGAAAGUGUGGGUAUCAAACAGGAUUAGAUACCCGGGUAGUC
RNAcentral lists this ribosomal RNA (460 nucleotides) under uncultured bacterium. RNAcentral describes it as "partial 16S ribosomal RNA". It matches the Rfam family "Bacterial small subunit ribosomal RNA", at positions 338 to 795 of the family's 1533-position model. The record is from RNAcentral.